UGGGGGAUAUUGCACAAUGGGCGAAAGCCUGAUGCAGCGACGCCGCGUGGGGGAUGAAGGCCUUCGGGUUGUAAACUUCUUUUGCUCUGAACAAGGCAUGCUAAUGGGUGUGUUGAGUGUAGGGGUUGAUUAGCGCCGGCUAACUACGUGCCAGCAGCCGCGGUAAUACGUAGGGCGCGAGCGUUGUCCGGAAUUAUUGGGCGUAAAGGGCUUGUAGGUGGCUGGUUGCGUCUGUCGUGAAAGCUCAUGGCUUAACUGUGGGUUUGCGGUGGGUACGGGCUGGCUUGAGUGCAGUAGGGGAGGCUGGAAUUUCUGGUGUAGCGGUGGAAUGCGCAGAUAUCAGGAGGAAUACCGGUGGCGAAGGCGGGUCUCUGGGCUGUUACUGACACUGAGGAGCGAAAGCAUGGGGAGCGAACAGG
This 419-nucleotide ribosomal RNA is filed under the name bacterium. Its description in RNAcentral is "partial 16S ribosomal RNA". It matches the Rfam family "Bacterial small subunit ribosomal RNA", at positions 355 to 776 of the family's 1533-position model. The record is from RNAcentral.